GACGUAGGGCGCGAGCGUUGUCCGGAUUUAUUGGGCGUAAAGCGCACGUAGGCGGAUUGUUAAGUCAGGGGUGAAAUCCCAGAGCUCAACUCUGGAACUGCCUUUGAUACUGGCAAUCUCGAGUCCGGAAGAGGUGAGUGGAACUCCUAGUGUAGAGGUGGAAUUCGUAGAUAUUAGGAAGAACACCAGUGGCGAAGGCGGCUCACUGGUCCGGAACUGACGCUGAGGUGCGAAAGCGUGGGGAGCAAACAGG
This 253-nucleotide ribosomal RNA is filed under the name uncultured bacterium. RNAcentral's name for it is "partial 16S ribosomal RNA". It matches the Rfam family "Bacterial small subunit ribosomal RNA", at positions 524 to 776 of the family's 1533-position model. The record is from RNAcentral.